This 22-nucleotide unclassified non-coding RNA is filed under the name Caenorhabditis elegans. RNAcentral's name for it is "SL2-like trans-spliced leader sequence". Lineage: Eukaryota; Metazoa; Nematoda; Chromadorea; Rhabditida; Rhabditidae. The record is from RNAcentral.
GGUUUUUACCCAGUUAACCAAG